RNAcentral lists this ribosomal RNA (253 nucleotides) under uncultured bacterium. Its description in RNAcentral is "partial 16S ribosomal RNA". It matches the Rfam family "Bacterial small subunit ribosomal RNA", at positions 524 to 776 of the family's 1533-position model. The record is from RNAcentral.
UACAGAGGUCUCAAGCGUUGUUCGGAUUCAUUGGGCGUAAAGGGCGCGUAGGCGGCUCGGCACGUCCGUUGUGAAAUCGCCCGGCUCAACUGGGCGGGGUCAGCGGAUACGGUCGAGCUUGAGCAAGCUAGGGGGCAAUGGAAUUCCCGGUGUAGUGGUGGAAUGCGUAGAUAUCGGGAGGAACACCAGUGGCGAAGGCGGUUGCCUGGAGCUUUGCUGACGCUGAGGCGCGAAAGCGUGGGGAGCGAUCCGG